Molecule: ribosomal RNA, 253 nt
Filed under: uncultured bacterium
Lineage: Bacteria
Description: partial 16S ribosomal RNA
Rfam family: Bacterial small subunit ribosomal RNA
Source: RNAcentral
UACGUAGGGGGCAAGUGUUGUCCGGAAUCAUUGGGCGUAAAGCGCGUGUAGGCGGUUCGGUAAGUCUGCUGUGAAAGUCCAGGGCUCAACCCUGGGAUGCCGGUGGAUACUGUCGGACUAGAGUACGGAAGAGGCGAGUGGAAUUCCCGGUGUAGCGGUGAAAUGCGCAGAUAUCGGGAGGAACACCAAUUGCGAAGGCAGCUCGCUGGGACGUCACUGACGCUGAGACGCGAAAGCGUGGGUAGCAAACAGG